RNAcentral lists this ribosomal RNA (253 nucleotides) under uncultured bacterium. Its description in RNAcentral is "partial 16S ribosomal RNA". It matches the Rfam family "Bacterial small subunit ribosomal RNA", at positions 524 to 776 of the family's 1533-position model. The record is from RNAcentral.
UACGUAGGGGGCAAGCGUUGUCCGGAAUUAUUGGGCGUAAAGAGCGCGUAGGCGGUCCGAUAAGUCGGCUAUGAAAGUCAGGGGCUCAACCCUUGGAAGCCGGCCGAUACUGUCGGACUAGAGUCCGGAAGAGGCGAGUGGAAUUCCCGGUGUAGCGGUGAAAUGCGCAGAUAUCGGGAGGAACACCAAUGGCGAAGGCAGCUCGCUGGGACGGUACUGACGCUGAGGCGCGAAAGCGUGGGGAGCAAACAGG